GUAGGUGAACCUGCGGAAGGAUCAUUAACACGUAUCCAAACGUUAAACAUCCGUGCACCUUACACCACGACCACCCCGGAGGACAUGGGCCUGGUAACUCACCCUUACACAGAUUGACUCAGCUCCCCUCUUUCGGCCCUGGUUGUUCUAAUUGUUUCGGUAAUUUCACCACUUUUGUCAAGACACAAGUCAACUUCGCAUGCAAAAUGGGAACGAUCAUAAGUGUGAAGCCUGGUAACUCACUCCGAAA
RNAcentral lists this unclassified non-coding RNA (250 nucleotides) under plant metagenome. RNAcentral's name for it is "partial contains small subunit ribosomal RNA, internal transcribed spacer 1, and 5.8S ribosomal RNA". The record is from RNAcentral.